AGUGAACGCUGGCGGUAGGCCUAACACAUGCAAGUCGAACGGCAGCACAGGAGUGCUUGCUCUCUGGGUGGCGAGUGGCGGACGGGUGAGGCAUACAUCGGAAUCUACCUUUUCGGGGGGGAUAACGUAGAGAUGCUUCCGCUAAUACCGCAUACGACCUACUGGUUAAAGUGGGGGACCGCAAGGCCUCACGCGAUUAUGUGAGCCGAUGUCCUAUUAGCUAGUGGGCGGGGUAAUGGCCCCCCAAGGCGACGAUCGGUAGCUGAUGUGAGAGGAUGAUCAGCCACACUGGAACUGGAACACGGUCCAUACUACUGAGGGAGGGAGCAGUGUGGAACAUGGGACAAUGGGCGCGAGCAUGAUCCAGCCAUACGGAGUGUGUGAAGAAGGCCUUGCGGUUGUAAAGCCCUUUUGUUGGGAAAGAAAUCCUGUCGAUUAAUACGCGGUGGGGAUGACGGUACCCAAAGAAUAAGCACCGGCUAACUUCGUG
RNAcentral lists this ribosomal RNA (490 nucleotides) under uncultured bacterium. Its description in RNAcentral is "partial 16S ribosomal RNA". It matches the Rfam family "Bacterial small subunit ribosomal RNA", at positions 29 to 507 of the family's 1533-position model. The record is from RNAcentral.